CGCGGCCUAUCAGCUUGUUGGUGAGGUAAAGGCUCACCAAGGCAUUGACGGGUAGCUGGUCUGAGAGGACGAUCAGCCACACUGGGACUGAGACACGGCCCAGACUCCUGCGGGAGGCAGCAGUGGGGAAUCUUGCGCAAUGGGCGAAAGCCUGACGCAGCAACGCCGCGUGGGGGAUGAAGGCUCUCGGGUUGUAAACCCCUUUCAGCAGGGACGAAAUUGACGGUACCUGUAGAAGAAGCCCCGGCCAACUACGUGCCAGCAGCCGCGGUAACACGUAGGGGCCGAGCGUUGUCCGGAAUUAUUGGGCGUAAAGGGCUCGUAGGCGGUUCGGUAAGUCAGAUGUGAAAGGUUGGGGCUCAACCCUAAGACUGCAUUUGAUACUGCCGUGACUAGAGUCCGGUAGAGGAGUGUGGAAUUCCUGGUGUAGCGGUGAAACGCGCAGAUAUCAGGAGGAACACCGACGGCGAAGGCAGCACUCUGGACCGGUACUGACGCUGAGGAGCGAAAGCGUGGGUAGCAAACAGGAUUAGAUACCCUGGUAGUCCAUGCCGUAAACGUUGGGCACUAGGUGUGGGACCUUAUCAACGGGUUCCGUGCCGUAGCUAACGCAUUAAGUGCCCCGCCUGGGGAGUACGG
This 639-nucleotide ribosomal RNA is filed under the name uncultured bacterium. Its description in RNAcentral is "bacterial SSU rRNA". It matches the Rfam family "Bacterial small subunit ribosomal RNA", at positions 232 to 885 of the family's 1533-position model. The record is from RNAcentral.